UACGUAGGGGGCUAGCGUUGUCCGGAAUCAUUGGGCGUAAAGCGCGUGUAGGCGGUCCGGUAAGUCCGCUGUGAAAGUCGGGGGCUCAACCCUCGAAUGCCGGUGGAUACUGUCGGGCUAGAGUGCGGAAGAGGCGAGUGGAAUUCCUGGUGUAGCGGUGAAAUGCGCAGAUAUCAGGAGGAACACCGAUUGCGAAGGCAGCUCGCUGGGACGUUACUGACGCUGGGACGCGAAAGCGUGGGGAGCAAACAGG
This 253-nucleotide ribosomal RNA is filed under the name uncultured bacterium. Its description in RNAcentral is "partial 16S ribosomal RNA". It matches the Rfam family "Bacterial small subunit ribosomal RNA", at positions 524 to 776 of the family's 1533-position model. The record is from RNAcentral.